This 253-nucleotide ribosomal RNA is filed under the name uncultured bacterium. Its description in RNAcentral is "partial 16S ribosomal RNA". It matches the Rfam family "Bacterial small subunit ribosomal RNA", at positions 524 to 776 of the family's 1533-position model. The record is from RNAcentral.
UACAGAGGUCUCAAGCGUUGUCCGGAAUCAUUGGGCGUAAAGCGCGCGUAGGCGGCCCUGUAAGUCCGUUGUGAAAGUCAAAGGCUCAACCUUUGAAAGCCGAUGGAUACUGCAGGGCUAGAGUCCGGAAGAGGCGAGUGGAAUUCCUGGUGUAGCGGUGAAAUGCGCAGAUAUCAGGAAGAACACCCGUGGCUAAGGCGGCUCUCUAGUACGGUACUGACGCUGAGACGCGAAAGCGUGGGGAGCGAACAGG